This 253-nucleotide ribosomal RNA is filed under the name uncultured bacterium. RNAcentral's name for it is "partial 16S ribosomal RNA". It matches the Rfam family "Bacterial small subunit ribosomal RNA", at positions 524 to 776 of the family's 1533-position model. The record is from RNAcentral.
UACGAAGGGUGCAAACGUUGCUCGGAAUCAUUGGGCGUAAAGCGCACGUAGGCGGCCUUGUAAGUCGGAUGUGAAAUCCCACGGCUUAACCGUGGAAGUGCAUCCGAAACUGCGAGGCUCGAGUAUGGAAGAGGGUCGCAGAAUUCCCGGUGUAGAGGUGAAAUUCGUAGAUAUCGGGAGGAAUACCAGUGGCGAAGGCGGCGACCUGGGCCAAUACUGACGCUGAGGUGCGAAAGCGUGGGGAGCAAACGGG